AAGUCGUAACAAGGUUUCCGUAGGUGAACCUGCGGAAGGAUCAUUAAUGAAAUUCAGAUGAUGGAACGAAAAGAGAUGGAUCAUGAAUGAAAUGAAUGAUUCAUCCCUUUUCGUAUCCACUCUAUCAACCCCUAUGUGAAUUCAAAGAGAGAGAGAGGAGGGAGGUAAAAGGGGGAAGAUGGAUGAAAAGAAAAGAGGAUGGGAUGGAUGGAUGGAAAAAGAAUGGAUGGAUGCAGAUUGCGUCACAUCAUGAUCUAAUCCCAUCCAUCCUAUCCCCUAAUCUCUACUACCUACCUAUCUAACCCUUUACUUCCUGCUCUUACUCUACUCUUAAUACAUACCAACUCCAAAUUAUAACUUGUCUAAUAUAUUAAUAUUUUAAACUAUUAACAACUUUUAACAACGGAUCUCUAGGCUCUC
RNAcentral lists this unclassified non-coding RNA (420 nucleotides) under fungal sp. RNAcentral describes it as "partial internal transcribed spacer region". The stretch from base 1 to 46 matches the Rfam family "Eukaryotic small subunit ribosomal RNA", at positions 1786 to 1831 of the family's 1831-position model. Lineage: Eukaryota; Fungi. The record is from RNAcentral.